GUGCAGCAGUCGCGAAACUUUACAAUGUGCGAAAGCACGAUAAGGGAACUCUGAGUGCCUCCUAAGGAGGCUGUUCUGAUGUCUAAAAGCAACAGAAGUAAGGGCUGGGUAAGACCGGUGCCAGCCGCCGCGGUAACACCGGCAGCCCAAGUGGUAGCCACGUUUAUUGGGUCUAAAGCGUUCGUAGCCGGCCAGGUAAGUUCCUUGGUAAAUUUAGCCGCUUAACGGUUAAGCUUUCAGGGAAUACUGCUUGGCUUGGGACUGGGAGAGGUCAGAGGUACUCCGGGGGUAGGGGUGAAAUCUAUUAAUCCCUGGGGGACCACCGGUAGCGAAGGCGUCUGACCAGACCAGGUCCGACGGUGAGGGACGAAGGCUAGGGGCGCGAACCGGAUUAGAUACCCCUGUAGU
RNAcentral lists this ribosomal RNA (408 nucleotides) under uncultured microorganism. Its description in RNAcentral is "bacterial SSU rRNA". It matches the Rfam family "Archaeal small subunit ribosomal RNA", at positions 330 to 745 of the family's 1478-position model. The record is from RNAcentral.